This 3358-nucleotide long non-coding RNA is filed under the name Callithrix jacchus (white-tufted-ear marmoset). RNAcentral's name for it is "lncRNA (ENSCJAG00000085547.1)". Lineage: Eukaryota; Metazoa; Chordata; Mammalia; Primates; Cebidae. The record is from RNAcentral.
UAGCGAGGAGUUAGUGUGGCCAAGAGAUUCAGUCUCACGAUGUUGUCCAGUCUCAAACCACCUGGGCUCAAGCCAUCCACCUAGCUCAGCCUCCUGAGUGACUGGGAUACCAGGAACCAUGCUACUGACUUCGAAGGAAUAAAGGAGAAUUCAUCCUGAAAACCGCUCUGCAUCAGCACCUCCGUCAGUGAAGAGGAUGCCUUUGGAUCACACCCAUCUUUAUCCAGAAGAUUUCUUCCAGUGUCCAAAACAGUGAAGAGGGCACAGAUGAGGCGGGAAGACAUUUUGCGAAAUAUUGUGUCACAGCCUCAGCCAGUAAUCUCAGAUGAGGAUCCAAAGAACUUCUGGACAAUCAGAGCUCAGGGACCUCAGUGGAUCAAGUUGUCUGCAAGACCAGGUUUGCCCUAAAGCCUAUGGAGCUCACUGGGAGCCCAAGGUGUAGAGUCCUGCCAUUCCCAGGUUCAGAAUGCUUGAAAUUGAACCAAGGUUUAGUUAAAACAAGAGGAACAUCAGGGUAAAGGAACCAUAAGUCUGGCAGAGCUUGAAAAAGACAAAGCUUUUAGCCUAUGUCAAAAAUAAUUAUGUAAUGUGACUCUCUAAUCUUGUAAUUAUCUCUACUAAAUAAAAUUUUCUGGAACUGGAAUUAUUUCUAAUUAUUGCUAUAUCUAGAAAUAACAGUCUGUGGCCAUGAGCUUUCUGUGCAUGCCAAAUGUGCAGUGAGGUGUCCGUGAGAGGAGAGGGAAGACAAAAGCUUAUAAAUCUCAGGUUUGUAUCUUUUAUAGAAGACCGUCUUGGCCCUUUUCAAAAUCGUGGAAUAUGAGCUAUCACCUAGAGAGACUGCCCUAGAUGGGGCAUUUUUAAUACAUCAGGGACCCAAGAAACCAGGGGAAAAAAUCUUACUUUAGGAGAGUAGGUUGCAGGUAGCCCUUGAAAUAAAGAAUUUCUACAGUCAAUUUUGGACUCUCCCCAUUUUAUUAAAAUGCACUAUACAUGUGACCUCUUCCCUGUUUAAAAAAUUCUGAGCCACAAAUAUCCCAAUAAAAAGAUAGAAAGAAGGUAAAAAUGAAGCCCUGCAUUUUGUCAGAUAGUCAUUCUGGUUUCUACAAACAACUGGAGAAGAAACAAAUUAAAAAUUACCAAUGCUUCUUAAACAUUCCCAAAAUUCUUAUUAAAAGUUUUUAUCUAGUUUUACAUCCUUACUGAUACCUCAAAUUGAGUUGAUUAUUGAUAAUGUAAUGGAACACAAACGGGGAAAUAUAGUCAUGAAUAUAGAACAUUUGUACCUAAAAAUCCAGUCUGAAACAUCAUAGUUUUAUACACUGUGUUCAUCAAAAUAGAUCACAUGUUAUAAUCUGUCAGAUUUUGGAAACUAAAGUAUUUUUGUCAAAUAGUAUUAAUCCUUCUUUCUCCUAGUUGAAAUCUUAUUUUUGAAACAAUUAACUUUACAUAACUCACAUAAUUUGUCAGUUCUUCCAUAGGCCACCAGGAGGGCAGACCCAAAAUUCAGACCUUAAUGUCAUCUAUCAUAAUCAAAAUUAGUUAUUUUCUCUAGGAAAUAAUGUAAUCAAAAAUUAAUUUGUGACUUUAUUUUUAAUUGAUACAUAAUAUCUGUACACAUUUAUGGGGUACAUGUGAUAUUUUGUUACAUGCAUAGAAUGUGUAAUGAUCAAGUUAGGUUAUUUAGGGUACCUGUCACCUCAAGUAUAUAUCAUUUUUAUGCGUUAGGAAUAUUUCGAGUCCUUUCCUCUGUUUUGAAAGGUACAAUAUAUUGUUGUUAACUAUAAUCAUCCUAUUCUGUUAUCAAACAUUAGAAACUUAUUUCUUCUAUCUAACUGCAUGUUUUUACCCACUGAUCAAACUCUAUCCAUCUUCCAAACCCCCAUAUACCCUUCCCAGCUUCUCAUAACUAUCAUUUAACCCUCAGUCUCCAUGAGAUCAACCUCUGUAGCUCCCACAGAUGAGUGAGAACAUGUGAUUAUGUGAUAUUUGUUUUUCUGUGCCGUGCUUAUUUCACUUAACAUAGUAACUCCCAGUUCUAUCCAUGUUGCUGCAAAUGACAUGCAUUUGUUAUUUUUAUGGCCAAACAGCAUUGCAUUUUGUAAAUAUAGAUAAAUAAAGAUAUUUUCUUUAUCCAUUCAUUUGUUGAUAGAUGCUUAGGUUGAUUCCGUAUUUAGACUAUUGUGAAUAGUGCUGCUAUAAACAUGGGGCACAGGUAUCUUUUUGAUACACUGAUUUCUUUUCCUUCAGAAAAAUAUCCAAUAGUGGGAUUGCUGGAUCAUAUUAUAGUUCUAUUUUGAGUUUUUCUAAUAAAUCUCCGUAUUGUUUUUUGUAGUAGCUCUACUAAUUUUUAUUCCUAUCACCAGUGUAUAAGAAUUCCUUUUCUUCAUAUCCUCACCAGCAUGUUAUUCUUUUUGCCUUUUUAAUAAUAGCCAAUUUAACUGGGGUAAGGUACCUCAUUGAAAUUUUAUUUUGCUUUUCCCUGAAUAAAUAUGUCUUUUUAAAAAAGUGAAUGAUGCUGGGAAAACUGAAUAUCCAUGAUUAGGAAUAUUGAGUAUUUUUCAUAUACCCGUUGACCAUUUCUAUGUCUUAUUUUGAAAAAUGUUUAUUCAUGUCUUUUGCCCACUUUUUAAUGGGAUUGUUUGGUUUCUUACUGUUGAGCUGUUUUGAGUUAUUUGUAUAUUCUGAAUAUUAGUCUCUGAUUAAGUGAAUACUUUGCAAAUAUUUUCUCCCAUUAAACAGAUUUUCUCUUUAUUGAUUGUUUCCUUGGCUGUGCAGAAGCUUUUUAAUUUAAGUUUCAUUUGUCUGUUUUUGUUUUUGUUACUUAUACUUUCAGGUCUUAGGCAUAAAGUAUUUCCCUAGACCAGUGUCCCGAAGUGAUUCCCCUGUAUUUUCUGUUAGUAGUUUUAUAGUUUUGGGUCUUACAGUUAAGUCUUUAACAUAUUUUGAGUUGAUUUUCGUCUAUGGUGAGAAAUAGGGGAAUAUUCUUCUGCAUAUGAUAUCCAGUUUUUCUGUCACCAUUCACUUUUUUAAAAAGACAUUUAUUCAGCAUCAUGUUCAGACAGACAAUUACAUUUAGCAAUCAACAGCAAGAGUAGAAAAAAAUCUACAUUAAACCCCUUUUGUUGGAAUGCUUUACACUUUCCACAGAACAGAAACAUUAAGGUGUUAUACAAUUAGUCACAACUACAGUUCUCAAGUUUUUUGCUAAUACACAUGAGACACGUGAGUAUUGUCUAAAACUGUGCUUGGCCAAGUUCACAAAUCUCUUGUAACCUGUAGCUUCCUUAUCACUUCUCUAGCUUUCCUCUACUGCUAAACUUUGUUUUCUGGCAGUAACUAAAAUCUUCUGCUACUGCCA